RNAcentral lists this ribosomal RNA (252 nucleotides) under uncultured bacterium. RNAcentral's name for it is "partial 16S ribosomal RNA". It matches the Rfam family "Bacterial small subunit ribosomal RNA", at positions 524 to 776 of the family's 1533-position model. The record is from RNAcentral.
UACGUAGGGGGCGAGCGUUGUCCGGAUUUAUUGGGCGUAAAGAGCGUGUAGGCGGCCAGAUAAGUCCGCUGUGAAAUCUCGAGGCUCAACUUCGAGCUGUCGGUGGAAACUGUCUGGCUAGAGUCCGGAAGAGGAGAAUGGAAUUCCUGGUGUAGCGGUGAAAUGCGCAGAUAUCAGGAAGAACACCCGUGGCGAAGGCGGCUCUCUGGGACGGUACUGACGCUGAGACGCGAAAGCGUGGGAGCGAACAGG